UCAGCCUAUAGUGUGGCGUUGCAGGCGGGCGGGGUUCCCCUGCUAAAGGAGCAGUCCUUGCCUAGUUCGUUCAUUCAGUGUUCAUCCAAGAGUUGCGUCAACAGAACCUGUUGCACUCGCUCCAAAAAUACAAAAGCCAAAUCACCUGCUAACUUCACCUGCUGGCGGCUCGUGGUGGUCAAGAAAGCUAGAGAGAGAGUUUCCUUGGCGGUGCUUACACGGGCUCACGUCAACAGUUCCCCGAGGCGCCAGACGAAGGGUGCGGCAUGGAGUGGACGUGCAAUGAAGACUGCUGGUGCCACAUCCCCGUGCAGAAGGAGCGCGGCCCUCCCUGCUACCAGUGUGUGCUUCUCAACUGUUCUUUCACCAGUCCCACGCCAGUACCUUCAGCUCCGCCACUCCGCGCCUUGCUGGACCACCAGGAACCCUCCCAUGCACCACACCUGCACGAGGAGCCCAGCACACCACCACACCUGUACUCACACCUGUACGAGGAACCCUCCACACCACCAUUCCGGCAUGAGGAAACCAGUACACCAUCACACCACUCAUCGCCUUCCCCACCGCCGCUACUGCCCCCAAAGAGAAAUAAGUUAAGUAUCAGGGGCAGCUGGUGUCCCUCUACAUCAAACAGGGUGUGCCUUAGUUCUGAUCCUGCCCCACCAGAUGCUGCAGCAGCGGUGAGACGCACCCAAGAGUACUCUCCUUCACCACCAGCAGCCCAGGCAAGGCUUGAAAUGGAAGUUCCAGUUUUGCCAGGCUUGGAAGAACAGGUGCAACAUGAAAAUGUAAAGAAGAAAGAACCUUCUGAUGUGUCUGGUCUUUUACGAGAACUGCUCCUGCAUGAUGAGAACGUGCCUGCUGCUUCACAAGAUGCUGAAGCUUUGCCUUGGGUGUCACAUGAAAGAAUUACCUCUUCAACACAUGCUGGGAAUAGUUUUCCAGAAACUGGCCCAGAUACAGCUAAUUCAAGUGAUGAUAACAAGGAUUACCGAAGAAAGAGACGAAACAGAGUGAGGUUGUCAGGUUUUGGUCUUGAUGCCAACGUCUUGUCCCAGAGGGACUCCAUGCAAGACACAGCUCAAUAUGGGUGUCUUGAUGAAGAGGCUUUCAGACGAAUAAACAAGAUAAACCGUAGAGAAUCUUGGAAGUGUGCUCGACAGCGACAUUUGCUGAACAAUAAUACCCGUAAAACCUACAUUUAAGCCAAGUAAAGUUAGCAAAGCAGUGAUCAUGUUCCUCCUGUAAUUUCUCCAGCAAUUAACUCAGCUUUGAAUAACAACCAAUAAGGUGCAGCGUUUUGUUCCCCUGAAGCAGAGGAGUGACAGGAUCCAGUACAACACAAUGCUGAUCUGUACACCACUUAAACCAUUCAUUUUGCUGCUGUGGUGAAUCCAUAAAUCCCCGAAGAGGAUUUACUGCCAAGUAUUAAGAGACCUGGUGAUUCUUCAGCUACUUUCAAGAAAUUCAUAGUGAGUAUAAUUGAUACGUAAUGCGGUAAAGACUUCCUCUCCUGUGACAGCCCUUGUCAUGUUCAUAACUGCUGACCGGCAUGUCACACUAGUACAGUACUAUAUACGAUAAGAUAAAUGUACCAAGAAGAAACUCUUCUCUUGCAGCCACUAGUCCAGAUCCCACUCAGCUCAGUGGCAACAGUAUUCAACUCAAUAGCUGCACUAACUGUUGUGCUUCAAAGUUGUGCGCUCUCUUGCAUGUGUUUACUAAACACAAAUGUAUCAUUGAGCUGGAAAGCUGGAACUGGUGUAUCCAGCCACUAAUAUCAUCAUUAGGGCUCAAAAUAUUAGAACAUCGUAAUAACGAUGACUAAGAAGCGAAAGUAAAGUAAACAGGUUAUCUACAAAGGGAAUAAAUAAAAACGUGAAAAGUUGCGACUAAGUUUUCCUGUUACAAAAGGGUCAUAAAAAUUAACUCAGGUAACAGCAUAGAUUGAACUGCUAUAUCUGAUUGCCUAAGACUUUUCUGUAUUGUCAGUAGCUUACAGCACUUGUCUAGGCUUUCCUGGAGCCAUGUUUCUAUCUGCAGUGGUUAAAGAAGUAUAUUGUAAAGGGGGACUUGAAAAGACUCAAGUUGGCCGCCAGAGGUCUUGUGUCACUUGCAUCCGAAGACAGUCUUGAUGUUCAGCAUCUGCUGGCUGACGUCAGUCCACUAGAUGGUGAGUGACGAUGGCCACCUCUCAGCGGGACUUGACCUUGGAUAUGUGACUUCACUGCCUGAGUGCUGUAUUGACUUUUUGCUGUGCUGAUGAUCCAGUUAAAACCUUACUUAGGUAAAUUACUUAGGAAGAUAAGAAAAUAUGAAUAAAUGAAUAAAUAAACAUAUAUGAACUGCAAUAGUGAUAUACCACAAUUCAGAAGCCAGGCACUGUUUCUGUACUUAUAUAUAAAUAAAAUGUUAUUAUCAUUGAUA
This 2427-nucleotide unclassified non-coding RNA is filed under the name Portunus trituberculatus (swimming crab). Its description in RNAcentral is "uncharacterized LOC123517649, transcript variant X4". The record is from RNAcentral. Lineage: Eukaryota; Metazoa; Arthropoda; Malacostraca; Decapoda; Portunidae.